GACGUAGGGCGCGGGCGUUGUCCGGAUUUAUUGGGCGUAAAGAGCUCGUAGGCGGCUUGUCGCGUCGACUGUGAAAACCCGCGGCUCAACUGCGGGCCUGCAGCCGAUACGGGCAGGCUAGAGUUCGGUAGGGGAGACUGGAAUUCCUGGUGUAGCGGUGAAAUGCGUAGAUAUCUGGAGGAAUACCGGUGGCGAAGGCGGCAUCCUGGACCGACAUCGACGCUGAACGGCGAAAGCUAGGGGAGCAAACGGG
RNAcentral lists this ribosomal RNA (253 nucleotides) under uncultured bacterium. Its description in RNAcentral is "partial 16S ribosomal RNA". It matches the Rfam family "Bacterial small subunit ribosomal RNA", at positions 524 to 776 of the family's 1533-position model. The record is from RNAcentral.